GCGCUAUCAGAUGAGCCUAGGUCGGAUUAGCUAGUUGGUGGGGUAAUGGCUCACCAAGGCGACGAUCCGUAACUGGUCUGAGAGGAUGAUCAGUCACACUGGAACUGAGACACGGUCCAGACUCCUACGGGAGGCAGCAGUGGGGAAUAUUGGACAAUGGGCGAAAGCCUGAUCCAGCCAUGCCGCGUGUGUGAAGAAGGUCUUCGGAUUGUAAAGCACUUUAAGUUGGGAGGAAGGGCAGUUGCCUAAUACGUAACUGUUUUGACGUUACCGACAGAAUAAGCACCGGCUAACUCUGUGCCAGCAGCCGCGGUAAUACAGAGGGUGCAAGCGUUAAUCGGAAUUACUGGGCGUAAAGCGCGCGUAGGUGGUUUGUUAAGUUGGAUGUGAAAUCCCCGGGCUCAACCUGGGAACUGCAUUCAAAACUGACUGACUAGAGUAUGGUAGAGGGUGGUGGAAUUUCCUGUGUAGCGGUGAAAUGCGUAGAUAUAGGAAGGAACACCAG
This 505-nucleotide ribosomal RNA is filed under the name Pseudomonas palleroniana. RNAcentral's name for it is "bacterial SSU rRNA". It matches the Rfam family "Bacterial small subunit ribosomal RNA", at positions 215 to 712 of the family's 1533-position model. Lineage: Bacteria; Pseudomonadati; Pseudomonadota; Gammaproteobacteria; Pseudomonadales; Pseudomonadaceae. The record is from RNAcentral.